GAGGAGGAGCUCCCUAGAUUAUACUCUAGGAUAGUGGACGUUACUCGCAGAAUAAGCACCGGCUAACUCUGUGCCAGCAGCCGCGGUAAUACAGAGGGUGCGAGCGUUAAUCGGAUUUACUGGGCGUAAAGCGUGCGUAGGCGGCUUUUUAAGUCGGAUGUGAAAUCCCCGAGCUUAACUUGGGAAUUGCAUUCGAUACUGGGAAGCUAGAGUAUGGGAGAGGAUGGUAGAAUUCCAGGUGUAGCGGUGAAAUGCGUAGAGAUCUGGAGGAAUCCCGAUGGCGAAGGCAGCCAUCUGCCCUAAUACUGACGCUGAGGUACGAAAGCAUGGGGAGCAAACAGGAUUAGAUACCCUGGUAGUCCAUGCCGUAAACGAUGUCUACUAGCCGUUGGGGCCUUUGAGGCUUUAGUGGCGCAGCUAACGCGAUAAGUAGCCCGCCUGGGGAGUACGGUCGCAAGACUAAAACUCAAAUGAAUUGACGGGGGCCCGCACAAGCGGUGGAGCAUGUGGUUUAAUUCGAUGCAACGCGAAGACCCUUCCCUGGCCUUGACAUAGUAGAAACUUUCCAGAGAUGGAUUGGUCCCUUCGGGAAUUUACAUACAGGUGCUGCAUGGCUGUCGUCAGCUCGUGUCGUGAGAUGUUGGGUUAAGUCCCGCAACGAGCGCACCCCUUUUCCUUAUUUCCCAGCAUUUCGGAUGGGAACUUUAAGGAUACUGCCAGUGACAAACUGGAGGAAGGCGGGGACGACGUCAAGUCAUCAUGGCCCUUACGCCCAGGGCUACACACGUGCUACAAUGGUCGGUACAAAGGGUUGCUACCUAGCGAUAGGAUGCGAAUCUCAAAAACCCGAUCGUAGUCCGGAUUGGAGUCUGCAACUCGACUCCAUGAAGUCGGA
This 895-nucleotide ribosomal RNA is filed under the name Acinetobacter vivianii. RNAcentral describes it as "bacterial SSU rRNA". It matches the Rfam family "Bacterial small subunit ribosomal RNA", at positions 441 to 1330 of the family's 1533-position model. The record is from RNAcentral. Lineage: Bacteria; Pseudomonadati; Pseudomonadota; Gammaproteobacteria; Moraxellales; Moraxellaceae.